ACAUAAUGGUAAAUUCACUGCUGGGCCAUGAGCUGAACCAUGAUAAGCACCACGUAAAAUCCAACUGCCAAGACCAACUGAUUUAAAUAUUUAUUAUGAUCCUGUUACAAUAAUAAUAGUUGCAUAACAAAGCAGAUGAAAUGUGAAUAGUACAAUGAAAGAAUGUUGAUAAUAAUAAAAAGGAUUCAAACCAUUUUUGUGAAAAUUAAAUUAGAUCUGGCUACUAGCAAGUUCAGCCAGUACAACAUUUUUUUCUGGUUCUUCUUUGGGACAAUUUCAUGCACUGUCUCCUUUAAAAUAUUGUACAUGUGCACUUUAAGAUGAAAUACUAUACAUACUGCAAUCCUAUUUGAACAUGCUUAAAGAAUUAUGAUUAAAUAAAGCAAGCAUAUCUUACUCUGUAUAAUAUUGUAUUAUGUUUAUUAAAUGUAUUAUCUAAUAGAAUCAUUCCCUUAUAAACUAA
Long non-coding RNA from Osmia bicornis bicornis, 463 nucleotides. RefSeq lists it as uncharacterized. The transcript has 2 exons. NCBI's taxonomy places the organism in Eukaryota, Metazoa, Arthropoda, Insecta, Hymenoptera, Megachilidae. The record is from RefSeq and is a predicted model, not a curated record.